UGGUUUACUCGUGUCGUCAUUCGUCGUGGGCACCUUGUCCCCGGGGCCGGCCAGUUACUUGGCCUCCUGGCUCAUCAUCCUGCCGGAAGCAUCUCCAGCUUGGGGAUGUUGGAGGGUCCCUGGCCCCACCUGGCUGGGGAUGGAGUGUCUUCCAAAACCGCGAGAAAUAAAUGUCUGUGUCUAAACCCCAACCCUACCACCUCAACUGCCGUGUGUGGUGUUUUGUGAUGGCAGCCCCAGCUGACUGAGACACCUGGUUAGACCGGAAUAAGCAGUACCUGAGUCCCUUAAGAGUGGCCAAAGAAGAAAGAAUCCACUGAGUUGACAUUCCAGUUCAGCUGCAAUCGGUAGCAGUCACCAUUGAACAUCCUUGAAGCAAUUCUUCCAAAAUUACCUUGCAUCAAAGACUGCACAAGAACUGCUCUAAGCGGAAGGACUGAUGUCGGCAACCAGGGUUCCACCAGGGGCUGCAGACAGCCCUUGACCUUCAGGGCUAGUGUGAGCAUCCCUGUGCAAUGGCUUAUUGGGAAAUUGAUGUGCAUUGCACCGGAAGCAAUCUCCUCAUCUUCCUGCUUACUCAUCAGACUGAAAAAGGCAACACAGACUACCAUUCAUUGUGUGGCUACAAGGCACUAUGCAUUUUCAUACAAUAUAUCUAAAGCCCAUAAUACUCACCAAAAUAAACCAUUGCUGCCACAAUUUAA
Molecule: long non-coding RNA, 704 nt
Filed under: Homo sapiens (human)
Lineage: Eukaryota; Metazoa; Chordata; Mammalia; Primates; Hominidae
Description: uncharacterized LOC102724087, transcript variant 16 (LOC102724087)
Source: RNAcentral